CGUAGGUGGCGAGCGUUGUCCGGAAUUAUUGGGCGUAAAGGGCGUGUAGGUGGAUGUUUAAGUCGUGUGUCUAAGUGCGGGGCUCAACCCCGUAUAGGCGCAGGAAACUGGAGAUCUUGAGUACAGGAGAGGAAAGUGGAAUUCCCAGUGUAGCGGUGGAAUGCGUAGAUAUUGGGAGGAACACCAGUGGCGAAGGCGACUUUCUGGACUGUGUCUGACACUGAGGCGCGAAAGCCAGGGGAGCGAACGG
This 250-nucleotide ribosomal RNA is filed under the name uncultured bacterium. RNAcentral describes it as "partial 16S ribosomal RNA". It matches the Rfam family "Bacterial small subunit ribosomal RNA", at positions 526 to 775 of the family's 1533-position model. The record is from RNAcentral.